CCCGCUGAACUUAAGCAUAUCAAUAAGCGGAGGAAAAGAAACUAACAAGGAUUCCCCUAGUAACUGCGAGUGAAGCGGGAAAAGCUCAAAUUUAAAAUCUGGCGGUCUCGCGGCCGUCCGAGUUGUAAUCUGGAGAAGCGUCUAUCCGCGUCGGACCGUGUACAAGUCUUCUGGAAGGGAGCGUCGUAGAGGGUGAGAAUCCCGUCUUUGACACGGACAACCGAUGCUUUUGCGAUGCGCUCUCGAAGAGUCGAGUUGUGUGGGAAUGCAGCUCAAAAUGGGUGGUAAAUUCCAUCUAAAGCUAAAUAUUGGCGAGAGACCGAUAGCGAACAAGUACCGUGAGGGAAAGAUGAAAAGCACUUUGGAAAGAGAGUUAAACAGUACGUGAAAUUGUUGAAAGGGAAACGUUUGAAGUCAGUCGCGUCGGCCGAGACUCAACCUUGCUCUUCGCUCGGUGCACUUCUCGGUUGACGGGUCAGCAUCAAUUUCGACCGCCGGACAAAGGUCAGGGGAAUGUGGCAUCCUUCGGGAUGUGUUAUAGCCCUUGAUUCGCAUACGGCGAUUGGGAUUGAGGAACUCGGCGCUUCACGCGUCCAGGAUGCUGGCGUAAUGGCUUUAAGCGACCCGUCUUGAAACACGG
RNAcentral lists this ribosomal RNA (640 nucleotides) under uncultured fungus. RNAcentral's name for it is "eukaryotic LSU rRNA". It matches the Rfam family "Eukaryotic large subunit ribosomal RNA", at positions 24 to 664 of the family's 3401-position model. The record is from RNAcentral. Lineage: Eukaryota; Fungi.